This 675-nucleotide ribosomal RNA is filed under the name Triticum aestivum (bread wheat). RNAcentral's name for it is "partial small subunit ribosomal RNA". The record is from RNAcentral. Lineage: Eukaryota; Viridiplantae; Streptophyta; Magnoliopsida; Poales; Poaceae.
AUGGCCAUUGCACCCGAUUUUCUGUCCAUGUGGCGUAUGUUACAGGCCGAAAACACGGUGCUGUGCCCACAAGAGGACGACCGCAUACGAUGGAGGCACACCAGCAAUGGCUGCUACUCUGCAAAUUCAGCAUACAACAUGCAGUUUCAGGCCCCGGGUCAGCCCAUGUUCAACAACCUAAUCUGGAAGGUCUGGGCUCCAAACAAGCACAAGAUGUUCAUGUGGCUACUUCUCCAGGACAGGCUUUGGUGCAACGAUCGACUUCAGAGGAGGGGUUGGCCGAACAAUUACUUCUGCCAAUUGUGCCUUCGCAAUCUGGAAACGUCCACACAUUUGUUUUGGGAUUGCAGUUUCGCGCGGGAAAUUUGGCUGCUCACGGCAAGGCGUUCUGGAUGCUCCUCUCUAUCAUCAUUGACCGGGGGCCUCACCUCAUCAGCUCAAAUAUGCCAGCAGGCCAUCAACCAGACUUCACCACAUAACAGAAGAGCAAUCAGAUCAAUGAUCAUUAUGGUUCUGUGGGAGAUCUGGAACGAGAGGAAUGAAUGCACCUUCAGGGGGGCGACUCCAAGUCAUCAGCGGAUAUGUGCAAAGAUCAGUAGUAACUUAGAACAAUGGAGAUUGGCAGGAGCAAAGAAAUUAGAGGCCCCGUUCGGGGAAAUGUUGGGAGAAGAUUGA